UGAAGUGACUUAGCAGGAGGUGAAUUAAAGUGAAGAAAGAUCACUCGUGUCCAGUAGAAACAUCUUGAGGGCAGCUUCCUUCCCACAGGAAGGAGGAAAUGAGCGUGGAACUGGAGUCCCAUAAAAGGAGAAGAUGAUGGAGCCCAAUAGACAAGGCCCCCUCCCACCCCCACCUGCUCUUCAGUCACUGUGACCACAGCUGAACCAUGUGAUACACAACUUCAGCAGAAGACGGUCAGCUGAGCCAGCAUGCUUGGCAUCGCAUAGUGAUUGCAAUCAGUUGUGAAAAUGCACAGCAUCACACUGUUCUCGAGGCCACAAGAUGGAGACAUUUCUCUUUGAGGAGACCAUGCAUCUGAUCCCUGAUCUGGGGAGAUCCCAAUGCCAAGGAGCAACUAGGUCCCUGUGCCACGACUAUUGAAUCUCUGCUCUAGAGCCGGGGAGUCACAACUGCUGAUCCCACAUGCUUCAACUACUGAAGCCAGGGCCCUAGAGCCUGUGCUGCACAACAAGAGAGGGCACUGCAGUGAGAAACGUGAGCACCGAAACUAGAGAAGAGUCCCAGGCAGCAAUGAAGACCCAGCACAGCCAAAAAUAAAAUAAAUAAAUAAUUUUUUUAAAAAAGAAAUUACUUCAUAUUUCUGCUUUAAACCUUUGAUUGUCUCAAAUGAGACAUUUUGCACAGA
Long non-coding RNA from Bos taurus (domestic cattle), 686 nucleotides. NCBI's taxonomy places the organism in Eukaryota, Metazoa, Chordata, Mammalia, Artiodactyla, Bovidae. The record is from Ensembl.